GAUGAACGCUAGCUACAGGCUUAACACAUGCAAGUCGAGGGGAAACGGCAUCGAAAUCUUGCUUUUGAUGUGCGUCGACCGGCGCACGGGAGAGUAACGCGUAUCCAACCUGCCCAUCACUUGGGAAUAACCUUGCGAAAGUAAGACUAAUGCCCAAUGACAUCCCACGAAGGCAUCCGUAUGGGAUUAAAGUUUUAUCGGUGAUGGAUGGGGAUGCGUUUGAUUAGCUUGUUGGCGGGGUGACGGCCCACCAAGGCAACGAUCAGUAGGGGUUCUGAGAGUCGGGUCCACCAGAUCGGAGCUGAGGCACGGUCCAAACUCCUACGGGAGGGAAGAGUGUGGUAUAUUAGUCAAUGGGCGAGAGCCUGAACCAGCCGAGUAGGGUGCGGAGUGACGGGCCUCUGGGUUGUAUACUGCUUUUAUAGGGGAAUAAAGUAAGUCACGUGGGACUUUUUGAAUGUACCUUAUGAAUAAGGACCGGCUAAUUCCGUG
RNAcentral lists this ribosomal RNA (492 nucleotides) under uncultured bacterium. RNAcentral describes it as "partial 16S ribosomal RNA". It matches the Rfam family "Bacterial small subunit ribosomal RNA", at positions 28 to 507 of the family's 1533-position model. The record is from RNAcentral.